Long non-coding RNA from Chiloscyllium plagiosum (whitespotted bambooshark), 487 nucleotides. RefSeq lists it as uncharacterized. NCBI's taxonomy places the organism in Eukaryota, Metazoa, Chordata, Chondrichthyes, Orectolobiformes, Hemiscylliidae. The record is from RefSeq and is a predicted model, not a curated record.
UAGCAAUCGUAGUCUGAAACUGUGGAGAGGGAAAGCGUCGUUAAUUACUUGAGGCAGGUCACCGCAAGGACCCUCGCAGUUAAUAAUGUAUCUGGACCAUUUCUGGGAAGUCUCAGUCCAUAUGGAUUUGUGGCACAGAAUGGACCCUCAAGGGAUGCUACCUUACGCUCAAUCAUGUACUGGAGAUUCAGUGAUACCACUUUGAUAACUGGUCAUAGUCCUGGCCUUUCCUAUUCCAGAUUGAGAGAGAGAUACUCGCUUAACUUGAAGGCAGGAUCUCAAGACCUGGAUGUGGAACAUAACCUGGCACACAGGCCCAAUUGCAGAAUUGGCAAUGGAUAUGGGUGAUUCACCUUUUCACCACCUGACCAGGCUCCUGCUGUGGAGCUAGAACUAACCGAGAUGAACAUUUCAUCCAUGGGAAUAUAUAGUCAAGAAGCUAAACUGUACUUACCUGGCUGGUAAUAUCCGAUGGCAUAGGUGAUGG